This 113-nucleotide ribosomal RNA is filed under the name Peromyscus maniculatus bairdii (prairie deer mouse). Lineage: Eukaryota; Metazoa; Chordata; Mammalia; Rodentia; Cricetidae. The record is from RNAcentral.
GCCUAUGGCUACACCACCCCGAGUGUGGCAAAUCCCACCUGAUCUAGGAAGCUAAGCAGGGUUAGGCCUGUUCGGUACGAGAAUGGGAGAGUGUGGUUCUGGUGUUUGAGUCU